UCUGGAAUGACUUCUCACCCAAAGGGCUUGGAUACAUGCUUUCAAGUCGCCUGGGGAUGGGGCCGCGUCCGAUCAGGUUGUUGGUGAGGUAAUGGCUCACCAAGCCUAUAACCGGUACGGGCCGUGAGAGCGGUAGCCCGGAGAUGGGUACUGAGACAAGGACCCAGGCCCUACGGGGCGCAGCAGUCGCGAAAACUCCGCAAUGCACGAAAGUGUGACGGGGCUACCCCGAGUGCCACCCGCUGAGGGUGGCUUUUCUUUGGUAUAAUUAGCCAUUGGAAUAAGGAGAGGGCAAGACUGGUGUCAGCCGCCGCGGUAAUACCAGCUCUCCGAGUGGUAGGGAUGAUUAUUGGGCUUAAAGCGUCCGUAGCCGGCUUAGCAAGUUUCCUGUUAAACUCAGCGACUCAAUCGUUGAAUCGCGGGAAAUACUACUAGGCUAGGAGGCGGGAGAGGUCGACGGUACUUCUGGGGUAGGGGUGAAAUCCUAUAAUCCCGGGAGGACCACCAGUGGCGAAGGCUGUCGACUAGAACGCGCUCGACGGUGAGGGACGAAAGCUGGGGGAGCGAACCGGAUUAGAUACCC
RNAcentral lists this ribosomal RNA (583 nucleotides) under uncultured archaeon. RNAcentral describes it as "bacterial SSU rRNA". It matches the Rfam family "Archaeal small subunit ribosomal RNA", at positions 169 to 738 of the family's 1478-position model. The record is from RNAcentral.